Hirundo rustica (Barn swallow) is the source of this 498-nucleotide long non-coding RNA. RefSeq lists it as uncharacterized. The record is from RefSeq and is a predicted model, not a curated record. NCBI's taxonomy places the organism in Eukaryota, Metazoa, Chordata, Aves, Passeriformes, Hirundinidae. The transcript is spliced from 4 exons.
GGCAAACGCCGACCCCGCCGUCCCGAGGGCUUCCCCCGUCCCGCCGGGACAGGCGCCUUACCUGGUGCUCCUCCAGCUCCUCCACCAGUACCUGGGGACAGAGGGACACACAGACACACACAAAGGACGGUCCGGACUGCAGGAACCGUGCGAUCAGAAAUGCCAAAUCCAGCUGUGGAUGAAACGCCCAGGAAAAGGGGUGGCUCUGUGUCCUGUGUGCUCUGGGCUCUGCCAGCAGAAGCACCAGGGCAACGAUGCCAGUGUCAGGUCCAUCCUCAGCAUCUCUGAAUUCCAGCUUUGUACCCCAAAGUGCCUUCAGCCCCCAAAGUUUUAUAGCAGCAAAAUGAUUAGGGGGUGUAAGUGACCAGCUUCUCCUGACAUGCCUGUGGCUGCUACCAGUGCAGUGAUCCCCUGUGCAAGAAUAUCACCCCGAAAAUACCACCUGAUAUCGCUACUGGGCUAAUUCAGCAACUUCAGGUCACGCUAAACAUUUGUAAA